UAAAGUCCAUGUCAAACCCAAGCAGUAACUAGGUACAGGUAAGAGAGAGCAGAGCACAGAGGUCAGUGUGAUGUAGAGAGACACUGAGGUACCAUGCUGUGACUGGUUUGUAAUUUCCAUGUACAUCAUGGCUCAGGGGAGUGGAAAGACAGGAGGAAACACUGAAAGCAAAACCCUCCUUCCAGUUGAAUAAGCACAGUGGGAGAAAGUUAGAUGUGCUUUAUGGGGAAUUCAAAAUGAGGAUGAUGAAAAGAGGCAGACAGAAUUUAGUAACUCAGCAGAGCAGGGAAAAGGUACCCAGACAGGGAAGGGGCUGCAAACUGGAGACAAAUGAUGCUCAGUGUACCAAAAAGAGCCAGCGUGGGGGCAUGAGGAGGGCAGCCCUGAAGCAAUGAGUCAAGAAAACCAUUAUCACUACUGUAAAUAAAAUACAUUUGAACUGGAACAAGGAAGGCAUGUGAAAGCAGCUGAGGUGAGAUGCAGAGCUGGGAUGUGCAGGGGUCUGUGCUCUGCUGUUCCCACAUCACUGCACCAGAAUUUGGUUAGUUCCCCAAGGAUAUUUUUCACUGAGGUCCUUAGAUUUAUAUAUAGCUUCAGCCCUUACCAGAGAUUUUUGCAAACACCCUGCAGAGGAGCCCUGUGUUUCAGAGGGCACCAGGUGGACUCUGCUUCACCCUGGUGCCAGGCAGCCAGCCACUGACAAGCAGAAGUCACUGGCUUCAGGGCAACCGAUCUCUUCUCCUCUCACCUCUCCUCUCCCCUCCCCUCCCCUCCUCUUUCUUUCUGCACAAGCUCAUGGCUGUUGCAGUCACAAGACCUGAUGCCUGAGCUGAUUUGGGUGGGAGCAAAAGGAUUUAUGGCUUGGGAAGUAAAAGAUAUCUGGAGGUAAAAUAUUAACAGCUCCGGUGCUGUUCUUGCAAGGUGGGGCUGCUGUAGGUCAGAGAAUUUAACAGAUGACCAAGUGUGAUGGGGAUCAGUGGGAAGAAGGUGCCUUAAGCCUUGAAAUUCCCAGGUCUGAUGAAAGGCUUUGUCUGCUUCAGGACCAGAAAUAACAAAUACUUUUUUUUUUCCUGAUGUCCUCUCCAUCCCAUCCUAUCCUCAGCCUGUGUGUAAUGCUGCUGGAGAGCAACACAGGCUCAGGACCAUGCAGCCCUCAAAUCUGUUUCAGCCUGUUCAGGUCCCCAGACAGAAGGUGGAGUUUGCCUGGCAGCCACACAGGAGAGUUGAGUACCAGUGCAGAAGACUUGGUCUUCCACCACUGACUCCGCUGUGUGUGACUCCCUUGCUCUACAUUGGGAUCUCUGAGUGAAAUGCUGAUAUUUUCCAAGUACUUUGCAAGCCAAGAGGCUCUAGUGGAGACCAUCAGAUGAAGCAACCUCACAAAAAAGGAGCCUUCCCCUCUCUGAAGGAUAUCCCCUUACUUAUGAGGAUCCUUUGUUUAAACACACAUCCUGGAAAUAAGCAGGCUUCCCCCACUUUCCUCUGCACUGAUGGGAGUGGUAUGGACACCAGCAAGAGGACAUCCUCUGGGAAUUUAGUACUCAGCAUCAGCUCCCCAUCCAGUGUCUUUGGGCCCAGCAGGAAAAAGUGAGCCAUGGGGAGAGGAAGCAGCUGCAUCUGCUGUGCCAAAGGUUACCAAUCCCAACCCGACAUCCCACAGGCAUCCCUGAGGUGAUUAAGCAGGAGAGAAUGUCUGCAGGGAGAGGAAAACUGUUUUCUAAAUUUCUGUUUAACUCAAACACCGAAACAAACAGAUGGAAGGAAAAGUUGGUUCUGUAAGAAUGUUCACAUCACAUCCGGAGCCAUCGAAUGGCUCAGCGGCAUUUUCCCCUGUGCUUUCUCUGCCCUGUCCUCCACCAGCCUUUUGCCUUCCCUGAUUGUUGUUUGCCCCUGAACGGAGCUUGUUAAUUAUUUAAUUGAUUAAAUAUAUUAGCAAAAAGCCAGUUUGGCAGAAAAGGGGCUAAUUUUUUAUCAGGUCCAUGAGUUGAACUGGCUCAGGGUGGAUGUGAGGGCAAAAGGUCCUGCAAGGAAAAAGAGAGGUGGGCAGGGAGGAGCAGGGAGAAAAAGGGAUGGACACAAGCCUCCACCUUCUCUGUCAGGAUUUAGACGUUAUAUUGGUCUAACAGUAUCAUGAAACUUGACCUUAAUGCCCUCUUGAAAUUCAGCAGAAAUUUCUGGAUGAGGUCAGAUCCUUUACAUGCUGGUCAUGUAAAGGACACAUCUGACCUUGUACUUCUUACUGUAAAACUCAAGGAAAGUUACGACUCUCUUCUCUUCAGGUAAUUUAAAUUUAACAAAUGUAUCUGGACAGGAACAAUUCCGAAUUAGCAUUGAGUUAAAAAAAGAGAAAUAAACAGCUAUUGCACUGAGCUGAUAAAGAGUCUACAACGCUAUGUCCUGGCACUGGGAUCCCAGCUCCUCUGGUAUAGGUCCUGUGCCUGUGGCUACAGGAAGUUGCCAAGACUCAUAACAUUCCUAGAAAGUCACAGAUACACUUAUUGUUACAGACAUCACUGGUGUAUACAAGUUAAAAUUGGCUGCACUUAACCACUCAGAACCGCCUGAUGUACACUAAUAAAAUGACAACAAAUGCCUUUGAACCAUCCUUUAUGAAUUUAAAAAGAAA
Long non-coding RNA from Parus major (Great Tit), 2626 nucleotides. RefSeq lists it as uncharacterized. The record is from RefSeq and is a predicted model, not a curated record. Lineage: Eukaryota; Metazoa; Chordata; Aves; Passeriformes; Paridae. The transcript is spliced from 3 exons.